This is a long non-coding RNA of Gadus macrocephalus (Pacific cod), 1765 nucleotides long. RefSeq lists it as uncharacterized. The record is from RefSeq and is a predicted model, not a curated record. Lineage: Eukaryota; Metazoa; Chordata; Actinopteri; Gadiformes; Gadidae. The transcript is spliced from 2 exons.
GAGGUACACACACACACACACACACACACACACACACACACACACACACACACACACACACACACACACACUACACAAUACAGCGGUACAGUUCACGACACAGGUACAGUACACAAAACUGGGGUACAGUACACAACACGGAGGUACAGUACACAAUACAAAACGGAGGAACAGUACAUAACACGGAGGCACAGUACACAAUACAGAGGCACAGUACACAAUACAGAGGUGCAGUACACAAUACAGAGGUGCAGCACACAAUACAGAGGUACAGUACACAAUACAGAGGUACAGUACACAAUACAGAGGUACUUUACACAACACGGAGGCACAGUACACAAUACAGAAGUAUAGUGGGGGUGCAGUACACAAUACGGGGGUACAGUACACAACACAGGGUUGCAGUACACAACACAGAGGUACAGUGCACAACACAAGAGAGGUACAGUACACAACACGGGUUCAUGUUUAGCGAACUGAUUGGGUUGUGUGGCUGUUGUUACAUUCUGUUGGGUGGCAGUGGUUCGUUUCUGUUGUGUGGCUGUUGUUCAUGUCUGUUGUGGGGCUGUUUUUCCUUUCUGUUGUGUGUCUGUUCCCCUUCAUCAUGUUAGCCACCACUCUCUCACAAUCUUAAUAAGUAAUUUGGCGCAAUGAUUACAGUUCCUCUUAUUUGCUUUGGCUUAUUCUUGAAACAACAAGUGUUGACAUUCUCAGACGCCACCUGCAUUGGUCAAUGUUGCUUCUAUGGUACAGCACAAAAGCAUGCAUUACUAACUCAUAACUCUUAAUUCAAAACAAAGCUAUUGUUUCAGAUAAAAAAAAAAAACUCAAAAUUAACCCCCUACACAUUCUGCAAACAAUGGUGGUCAAAUGUUUAGAUGUUGGGUAAGUAUGGCAGUGGACCCUGGAAAUGUUUCUUUCAUCCACAUCUCAGUCUUCACAGACACUGAAUGUUUUCUCUACUAGAAUGACAUUUUUGUCUAGCUAUCUGAAUGCUGUUGUGUAUCAAACGGAAUGAUAGCAAUCCUUGAACAGUUCAAGGAUUUACAUUACACACUUUGCACUCACAUUUCCGACAAUGGAAUCAAUCAGACAAUCAAAUCUGUGCUUAGUGGUCUGGAGGUUUGCAGAUUUUGUUUUGAACAUGUUUAUGAUAAUUUUAGAAUUGUCUCCACUCCCAGAUGUGGAGGAGACAUAGAUAACCCGCUCCUUUAGAAGGGAGGCUUUUUACAUGUUGAACACCAUGUCUCCAAAGGGCCUCAAUAUGUAUUUUAUUUUGACCUUAGACCUUUUCUUUGAUUGUUCAUGUUUGGUAUAUAGCCUGCAAUUUACACUUCCUUCUCUGCUUAUAUAUGAGGAAUACAUCAAUGUGCAUUUUGUUUAAAAAAAAAGCUUAUUGUGAAGCAUACAGUUAAAAAAAAAAUAUAUAUUGUUAUUAUUAUUAUUUAUAUUAUUAAUUGUAUUAUUGUUAUAAGAUUAUUAUUUGUUCUUUAUUAUAAAUUAUUCUCUUUAUAUUUUAUUAUUUAUAGAUAUUUUCUUGAUGUGUCAUUGACUCUUAUGGAUUUAUGCAAUGCAUGCGAGCCAGUAUCUUCGGGUGCAUGUUUUGCCAUUUGUCACUUUUUUGGGUGCGCCCUGUGGAUUAGACAGGUGUCACCAUUUGGGUCAUGUGAUAUAAGUCAUCUCACCCCUUUUUUUCAAUGCCUGAUGGAGAUCCCUAGAGAUGUAAAAGUGGCCUGUUAAUAAAUCCACUUCUGGAGCAUUUAAA